This is a long non-coding RNA of Capra hircus (goat), 436 nucleotides long. RefSeq lists it as uncharacterized. The transcript is spliced from 3 exons. The record is from RefSeq and is a predicted model, not a curated record. NCBI's taxonomy places the organism in Eukaryota, Metazoa, Chordata, Mammalia, Artiodactyla, Bovidae.
UCGCAAAGAGUCAGACACGACUGAAUGACUGAACACGCACACAUCUAGUAACAAAAAUGAAAAUUUCAUUUGUCUUUAAAAAGGUUGUGUCCUUCUGAUUAUUUUUUUUUUUCCAGUUGACUGCCACGUAAGUUUGGACUCGAUUAUCAGUACAAAAGUGCCUGUAAUUUAUUUGCGGCAGGGUGAAUGAAUGAACUGCCACUGCUAUCACCAGUCCUGAGAACAACCCUCUCCUAUCCAGGGAUCUCCUGCCCUUGGGAGCAGCUACUGGCUAGGUUCCCUGCGGUCCCUCAAGUGGUGCGCUGGCAGGACCGGGUGGGACAAGGACUUGGGCCAGGUGUGUCCACUUCCAGGAGGCCUCGCUAACCACAGAUUCCUAAUGAUAUUCAAGAAAGAAUCAUAAGCAUCAAACAAAUAAAGGAAAGACAACUCACCC